ACGUGAUCGUAAAGAUGGCGGACUCUGCAAAUCUAAUAUUUCCUCAAGGUUUGACAGAAUCAUUAUGUUUUUGUGAGAACAUUCCUGAAGAACUAUUAUUAAAAAUAUGUUAUGAUGUAUUAGAUUUUCAACAGAUGAAACUAUCAAGUUUACCCUAUGAUUUAUAUGAGAAUGAUUUAUGUUCCAAGAAUAGAAUAGAAAACAUAGUUCGAGCUAUUUCCUUUAUAUACAGAACAGCGGCUCAAAAUAAGGAAACAGACAAUGAACUAAGAUCUCGUUUAUUGUCCAUGUCGAUUUUAUCUAAUAAUACAAUCAAUACAAUUCUACGAGGCUGGCAGAAAGAGGGGAAGCAACUCUUAUUAACAGAUUCUGCUAUGAAAGACAUUAAUGUAGGAAAGCUAUUAGAUAUUAAAUGGAAGAUUGGUAUGUCCGUUAGUUCUAGUGAAUGUAAACAACUCAACUCGUCAUUUGUUUCCAUGGUGAUAACAGUUGCUGACCAAUCAGGAAAAGCUAAACAUCACUCCUUAGAAAUGAC
Molecule: long non-coding RNA, 535 nt
Organism: Patella vulgata (common limpet)
Lineage: Eukaryota; Metazoa; Mollusca; Gastropoda; Patellidae
Exons: 7
Source: RefSeq, a predicted model, not a curated record